GAUGAACGCUGGCGGCGUGCUUAACACAUGCAAGUCGAACGAAGCAUUUCGGGCUUAAUCUUCGGAAGCGGACUGAUCUGACUGAGUGGCGGACGGGUGAGUAACGCGUGGGUAACCUGCCCUGUACAGGGGGAUAACAGUUAGAAAUGACUGCUAACACCGCAUAAGCGCACAGAAAGGCAUCUUUCGGUGUGAAAAUAUUUAUAGGUACAGGAUGGGCCCGCGUCUGAUUAGCCAGUUGGAAGGGGAAAGGCCUCCACAAGCAACGAUCAGUAGCCGGCUUGAGAGAGGGAACGGCACAUUGGGACGGAGACACGGACCAAACUCCUACGGGAGGCAGCAGUGGGGAAUAUUGCACAAUGGGGGAAACCCUGAUGCAGCGACGCCGCGUGAGUGAAGAAGUAUUUCGGUAUGUAAAGCUCUAUCAGCAGGGAAGAAAAUGACGGUACCUGACUAAGAAGCCCCGGCUAACUACGUGCCAGCCGCCGCGGUAA
Molecule: ribosomal RNA, 494 nt
Filed under: uncultured bacterium
Lineage: Bacteria
Description: partial 16S ribosomal RNA
Rfam family: Bacterial small subunit ribosomal RNA
Source: RNAcentral